UACGUAGGGACCAAGCGUUGUUCGGAUUUACUGGGCGUAAAGGGCGCGUAGGCGGCAAUUCAAGUCAGUUGUGAAAUCUCCGAGCUUAACUCGGAACGGUCAACUGAUACUGUUUUGCUAGAGUACAGAAGGGGCAAUCGGAAUUCUUGGUGUAGCGGUGAAAUGCGUAGAUAUCAAGAGGAACACCUGAGGCGAAGGCGGGUUGCUGGGCUGAUACUGACGCUGAGGCGCGAAAGCUAGGGUAGCAAACGGG
Molecule: ribosomal RNA, 253 nt
Filed under: uncultured bacterium
Lineage: Bacteria
Description: partial 16S ribosomal RNA
Rfam family: Bacterial small subunit ribosomal RNA
Source: RNAcentral